GCUUAGUUGGUAGAGCACAAGGCUCUUAACCUUAUGGACGUGGGUUCGAGCCCCAU
RNAcentral lists this transfer RNA (56 nucleotides) under Triticum aestivum (bread wheat). It matches the Rfam family "tRNA", at positions 10 to 63 of the family's 71-position model. From Rfam's summary of the family: Transfer RNA (tRNA) molecules are approximately 80 nucleotides in length. Their secondary structure includes four short double-helical elements and three loops (D, anti-codon, and T loops). Lineage: Eukaryota; Viridiplantae; Streptophyta; Magnoliopsida; Poales; Poaceae. The record is from Rfam by way of RNAcentral. RNAcentral also lists the same sequence under 1 other name.